RNAcentral lists this long non-coding RNA (206 nucleotides) under Brassica napus (rape). RNAcentral describes it as "long non-coding RNA (BNAP_LNC021823)". The record is from RNAcentral. Lineage: Eukaryota; Viridiplantae; Streptophyta; Magnoliopsida; Brassicales; Brassicaceae.
AAACCCUAAACUCUAAACCCUAAACCCUAAACUCUAAACCCUAAACCAACCCCCAAACUCGAACCCCGAAACCCCAACCCCCAAACCCGAAACCCGAAACCCUAAACCCUAAACCCUAAACCAUAAACCUUAAAAUCUAAACCCUAAACCCUAAACUCUAAACCCUAAAUCCUAAACCCCACCCUUUAACUCUAAACCCUAAGUUU